RNAcentral lists this ribosomal RNA (440 nucleotides) under uncultured bacterium. Its description in RNAcentral is "partial 16S ribosomal RNA". It matches the Rfam family "Bacterial small subunit ribosomal RNA", at positions 338 to 795 of the family's 1533-position model. The record is from RNAcentral.
CCUACGGGAGGCAGCAGUGGGGAAUAUUGCACAAUGGGGGAAACCCUGAUGCAGCGACGCCGCGUGAGGGAAGAAGUAUUUCGGUACGUAAAGCUCUAUCAGCAGGGAAGAAAAUGACGGUACCUGACUAAGAAGCCCCGGCUAACUACGUGCCAGCAGCCGCGGUAAUACGUAGGGGGCAAGCGUUAUCCGGAUUUACUGGGUGUAAAGGGAGCGUAGACGGCAGCGCAAGUCUGGAGUGAAAUCCCAUGGCUUAACCAUGGAACUGCUUUGGAAACUGUGCAGCUAGAGUGCAGGAGAGGUAAGCGGAAUUCCUGGUGUAGCGGUGAAAUGCGUAGAUAUUAGGAGGAACACCAGUGGCGAAGGCGGCUUACUGGACUGUAACUGACGUUGAGGCUCGAAAGCGUGGGGAGCAAACAGGAUUAGAUACCCGAGUAGUC